UGGGCUGGUAUUAUUAAAGAUGAGCUAGUUGGACCUUUUUGGGUUGAAGAUUGACUCAAAAUCAACUCCCAAAACUACUGCCAGUUUUUAGAAGACACUUUCUUCUAAAGCAGUGGUACAGGAAAAAUGCACCUUUUCAAGAAGA
Molecule: non-coding RNA, 145 nt
Organism: Pseudonaja textilis
Lineage: Eukaryota; Metazoa; Chordata; Lepidosauria; Squamata; Elapidae
Source: RefSeq, a predicted model, not a curated record